This 782-nucleotide long non-coding RNA is filed under the name Columba livia (rock pigeon). RNAcentral describes it as "partial uncharacterized LOC106145956". Lineage: Eukaryota; Metazoa; Chordata; Aves; Columbiformes; Columbidae. The record is from RNAcentral.
CGGAGAGGAGCGGUGUGGUAUCGUGUGUCCGGCCUUGGGAUGCUGGUCCCCUGCUCUUACUGGUCUGAGUGAGCCCCAGGAAAACCAAGCUCAAUCCCCAGCCUUGCGUGCUCACCCCCCCCAGGUUUCUGGGGCUUAGAGGGGACAAAAUGUGGCCCACUCGGGCCGCAUGGCCGGACACAGCCCGGGGGAGGCCCACGAGUCCUGUCCUGUGCUCUAUAUUCAGCGUACGUCUGGUAUAUUAUGAACUGAUGUAUAAGAAGGUACUAGGAUUAAGCCUGGCAGAGGACAAAAGGUGACGUGAGAAAGAUUGUGUGUCUCGAAAAAUCAAGGAAGGCUGUGUGAUGCGGCGGAGCCAGGAGUCCUCCAAGCCCUGAGUUACUUCUGAGAACAGGACUGAGCUCUGGAACCUGCUUCAAAUGUUGAAGAUCACGCCCGGAGUUACAGAAUUUGUAGCAAACCUGGCUGUGGCAAAAGAAGUGGCAGCGUCUGCAUUUGAACAUCUGCAGAUUCCUAAAACUUCACCUUUUCCCAUCCGUGGGUCCAAAGCGCUGCUGGAGGUUCUGUCUGCUGCAACCUGUGGACUCAAAUGUCCCUUUAAAACAAGUUACAGCUCUUCUGCUCCCAGCGUCCUCUCUGCUUUUGUUGUGCUCCUAUGGAGCAACCGUACAAGUUGUCAGCUCAUGUGCUGGUUUCCCAGCCAUUUUUUAAAGUGCUGCUGUUUCCGUCUCUGUUUACAUCGUUAAGAAGGAUUCUUAAAAAGAAAACUAAAUAAAGAUGCC